RNAcentral lists this ribosomal RNA (752 nucleotides) under uncultured organism. Its description in RNAcentral is "bacterial SSU rRNA". It matches the Rfam family "Bacterial small subunit ribosomal RNA", at positions 13 to 785 of the family's 1533-position model. The record is from RNAcentral.
UUGAUCCUGGCUCAGGAUGAUUGAAAGCGGCGCGCUUAAUGCAUGCAAGUCGAGCGAUGAGGCCUCUUCGGGGGGUACAUCAGCGGCAGGCGGGUGAGUAACACGUAGGUGAUCUACCCCAGAGACGGGGAUAACGGACGGAAACGUCCGCUAAUACCGGAUGACCUUGCCGAGUCAAAUUGGCAAGGAAAGGCUCCGGCGCUCUGGGAGGAGCCUGCGGCCCAUCAGCUAGUUGGCGGGGUAAAGGCCCAUCAAGGCAGAGACGGGUAGGGGGUGUGAGAGCAUGGCCCCCCACAAUGGGACUGAAACACGGCCCAUACUCCUACGGGAGGCAGCAGCAGGGAAUAUUGCACAAUGGACGGAAGUCUGAUGCAGCGACGCCGCGUGGAUGAUGAAGGCCCUCGGGUUGUAAAAUCCUUUACAAGGGGACGAGGAAGGACGGUACCCUUGGAACAAGUGUCGGCUAACUACGUGCCAGCAGCCGCGGUAAGACGUAGGACACAAGCGUUAUCCGGAUUUACUGGGCGUAAAGCGUCUGCAGGCGGACAGGUAAGUUGGGCGUGAAAGCUCCGGGCUCAACCCGGAGAGGUCGUUCAAUACUGCGUGUCUAGAGGGUGUCAGAGGGGAGUGGAAUUUCCGGAGUAGCGGUAAAAUGCGCAGAGAUCGGAAAGAACACCAAUGGCGAAGGCAGCUCCCUGGGGCAUACCUGACGCUAAGAGACGAAAGCUAGGGGAGCGAACAGGAUUAGAGAC